CUUCGAAGAGUCGAGUUGUUUGGGAAUGCAGCUCAAAACGGGUNGUAAAUUCCAUCUAAAGCUAAAUACAGGCGAGAGACCGAUAGCGAACAAGUACCGUGAGGGAAAGAUGAAAAGAACUUUGGAAAGAGAGUUAAACAGUACGUGAAAUUGCUGAUAGGGAAACGCUUGAAGUCAGUCGUCUCGGCGAGGACUCAGCCUGGCUUUUGUCGGGUGCACUUCCUCCGUCGAGGGGUCAGCGUCGGUUUCGGGCGCCGGAGAAGGGUGGAGGGAAUGUGGCNCCUCCGGGUGUGUUAUAGCCCCCCGCCGGACACGGCGCCUGGGACCGAGGNNCNCNGCGCGUUUCGGCGCGUCUAGGAUGCUGGCAUAAUGGCUUUAAACGACC
This 385-nucleotide ribosomal RNA is filed under the name uncultured fungus. Its description in RNAcentral is "eukaryotic LSU rRNA". It matches the Rfam family "Eukaryotic large subunit ribosomal RNA", at positions 255 to 649 of the family's 3401-position model. The record is from RNAcentral. Lineage: Eukaryota; Fungi.